This 253-nucleotide ribosomal RNA is filed under the name uncultured bacterium. RNAcentral's name for it is "partial 16S ribosomal RNA". It matches the Rfam family "Bacterial small subunit ribosomal RNA", at positions 524 to 776 of the family's 1533-position model. RNAcentral also lists the same sequence under 1 other name. The record is from RNAcentral.
UACGUAGGGUGCAGGCGUUAAUCGGAAUUACUGGGCGUAAAGCGUGCGCAGGCGGUUUGUUAAGACAGGUGUGAAAUCCCCGGGCUUAACCUGGGAAUUGCGCUUGUUACUGGCAGACUUGAGUGUGGCAGAGGGGGGUGGAAUUCCAAGUGUAGCAGUGAAAUGCGUAGAUAUUUGGAGGAACACCGAUGGCGAAGGCAGCCCCCUGGGCUAACACUGACGCUCAUGCACGAAAGCGUGGGGAGCAAACAGG